GCCUUUAUCUACAUGUCUGUACAAAAUUUUCUCGUUAACCAAAAUACGUAAGAAACUGUCAUCUGUCAAGUCUAUAAAUAUAAGAACCAGAUGCUCCGCAGAGGUUGAACCCUGAACGGUUGGGGCAAGUAUGGACACAACAUUCAAGCUGGAUUCAGCUCUAAAUUUGAAUUGUGAUUAAAUAGUUGACACAGCAUAGGUUUCUUACACAGAAUGAAUGUGGUCGAAUGAACUUAAAAUAUUUUUUUUGCCUUUGAGCAAUUCACAAUGCAGUUGAAUAUUAAUCCUCUCAAAAAAAUGUUUGAAGAAAUUUUCUUUUUUUUUUUUAUGAAAUCUGAAAU
This 341-nucleotide long non-coding RNA is filed under the name Mytilus galloprovincialis (Mediterranean mussel). Lineage: Eukaryota; Metazoa; Mollusca; Bivalvia; Mytilida; Mytilidae. The record is from RNAcentral.